Molecule: RNA transcript, 1457 nt
Organism: Benincasa hispida (wax gourd)
Lineage: Eukaryota; Viridiplantae; Streptophyta; Magnoliopsida; Cucurbitales; Cucurbitaceae
Source: RefSeq, a predicted model, not a curated record
AUGGUUAAAAUUUACAAAUAAUUUGGAAAGAAGAGAAAAGAGAAAAAAAACUUUGAAAAGGCAGAAGAACCAAAUGGCAAUUUUCCAAAAUAGAAAGAAAACAAACUCAAAGAGGAUAAACAGAUAGCUCUGUGACAUGAAACCAAAGCAAAGCGACCAAUCACCAGCACAGAUUCUUAGUGGAGGAACACACGAGACGAAACGGAACGGAAGGAUUCAAUCCAUGCUUUGAUUUUCAUCAACAACAAUGAAAAAAUUAUCGAAAUCGAUUUCCAGUCCCAGUCGGACCGACCUGUUUCCACCGCCAUUGAUGAGCUUUCUCAGAGCCGAUGCUGGUAAUCGGAGUAAAAGCGGCCGGUCUCGCUCCAGUCCGAUCUUCGUCGGGAAGAAGAACGUCGUCGCCAUUGAAACUCAAGAGCCGUCCUCUCCCAAGGUCACUUGUAUGGGACAAGUCCGCGCCUCCUCCAAUAAAACUCCCGCCGCUCGAUGCCGGUGGAUUAGAAGCGUCCUCUCUUUCAAUCGACGCAAUUGUCGAACCUUCUGGAACAGCUCCGCGAUGUUCUUCCGAAGAAAGUAUGAAAUUAGACGAAAAUCAUCGAUAUUUGAAUCUCGCGUCGGAAACGAAGCCGAAGAUUCGGAGAAAGAUGAAGAGAACGACGGAGGAGCUAGAGAUGCGGUUUUUUCGUCUUCGGUGCCAUCGCCGCCGAAAAACGCUCUUAUUCUGACGAGAUGUAGAUCUGCGCCAAAUCGUGCGUCGUUUUACGGAAAUCGGUACCGGAGUAGGCCGAUUACGAGCGACGGAAGUGGAGAAGAAGAGGAGAAAGCAGAGGAGGAUUUAGGAAACAGCGCAGCUUCCGAAAUUGAGUUGCGAAAAAAGGAGGGAUUGUGGAAUAAAGUCGAAAAUGCAAAGGGAGAUGGAGAUUGUGAGUGUGUAGAUAGAAAAGAGAGGACAAUGGAGGAAAAAUCGAUGUUGAAUCGGAAGCUGAUUCUGACGAGAUGUAAAUCGGAACCUGCGAGAAUUGCAGAGAAAAUGUACGGAGAAUUGAAUCUUCGGGAAGAAGAAAGGUCGGUUAUGGCUAAGAACAAUUCGGUUAUGGCUAAGAACAAUUCUUACUUGUUGAAUUAGAUGAUUGAAUCUUUACUAGUUCUUGACUUUCCUCCAUUACUGAAAACGCAAGAAAUGGAGACUUUCGGUGAGGCAAAAUGGAAGAACGAUGAAAGCCUGUGUGAUAGAGUUGAGGAAUUAUAUGGUAAAUUAUUAGAGUUAAAAUCUAACUUCUUAUUGCUUGCUUAUUAAGAUUAAAGGUUAAUUGAGUAUUGAGUGAGAUGAAUCUUUAAUUUAAAUAUAUUUAGUUGAAUACAAACAUUACCCUAGAAAUUAUUAGAAUUAGCACUGAAAAGUUACUGGAGCUCUUUCGAUGAAAUCUAGUAUAAAAUGAAUCUCUAUAUUCUCUUAA